This 66-nucleotide transfer RNA is filed under the name Microsepsis sp. ACMJ-2016. RNAcentral describes it as "tRNA-Glu". Lineage: Eukaryota; Metazoa; Arthropoda; Insecta; Diptera; Sepsidae. The record is from RNAcentral.
GUUUAUAUAGUUUAUUUAAAACCUUACAUUUUCAUUGUAAAAAUAAAACAUUCGUUUUUAUAAAUU